ACACUCCUACGGGAGGCAGCAGUGGGGAAUUUUGGACAAUGGGCGAAAGCCUGAUCCAGCAAUGCCGCGUGAGUGAAGAAGGCCUUCGGGUUGUAAAGCUCUUUUGUCAGGGAAGAAACGGUGAGAGCUAAUAUCUUUUGCUAAUGACGGUACCUGAAGAAUAAGCACCGGCUAACUACGUGCCAGCAGCCGCGGUAAUACGUAGGGUGCAAGCGUUAAUCGGAAUUACUGGGCGUAAAGCGUGCGCAGGCGGUUUUGUAAGUCUGAUGUGAAAUCCCCGGGCUCAACCUGGGAAUUGCAUUGGAGACUGCAAGGCUAGAAUCUGGCAGAGGGGGGUAGAAUUCCACGUGUAGCAGUGAAAUGCGUAGAUAUGUGGAGGAACACCGAUGGCGAAGGCAGCCCCCUGGGUCAAGAUUGACGCUCAUGCACGAAAGCGUGGGGAGCAAACAGGAUUAGAAACCCGUGUAGUCCCAUGA
Molecule: ribosomal RNA, 476 nt
Filed under: uncultured organism
Description: partial 16S ribosomal RNA
Rfam family: Bacterial small subunit ribosomal RNA
Source: RNAcentral